RNAcentral lists this transfer RNA (70 nucleotides) under Gymnopis multiplicata. RNAcentral describes it as "tRNA-Ile". Lineage: Eukaryota; Metazoa; Chordata; Amphibia; Gymnophiona; Dermophiidae. The record is from RNAcentral.
GAUAUGUGCCCGAAAAAUCAAGGAUCACUUUGAUAGAGUGAAAUAUAAGAGCCCGAACCUCUUCAUAUCU